Long non-coding RNA from Manduca sexta (tobacco hornworm), 519 nucleotides. RefSeq lists it as uncharacterized. The transcript has 2 exons. Lineage: Eukaryota; Metazoa; Arthropoda; Insecta; Lepidoptera; Sphingidae. The record is from RefSeq and is a predicted model, not a curated record.
UAUGACAUUACGGGAAAAAUCUCAUCUACACUAAUAUAUAAAGCUGAAGAAUUUGCUUGUAACGCACUAAUCUCAAGAAUUACUACACCGAUAUUGAAUUUUUUACUAAUGGGAAGCUACAUUACUCCUGAGUGAGGGCUACCUUUUAUCCCAGGAAAAUUUUUAACCCCGGAAAAGCACGCGGGCGGAGUAGCGAGAAAAAGCUAUUUGCCUACAUUCCCCGGAAAUAGUGAAAGACAUUUAAAAACACCUUUUCCUUAUAAUUAUUUCACACAAUUCACCUUUAUUGGUCUGGGGACUCUGAAAGUAAUUACGAGCGGCCAUUUUACACUCACUUAAGAAGCGGUGAAACUGACAUUGCUACUGUCUUUAACUUAAUGAGACCCUAAAUUACGUUUGAGGAUGUACGAAGCGGCAAGGAUGUAAACAUUAUACAUACACUCGUAAAUAUAAUUUUAAGCCUACGUUUAGAUACAAACCCUAAGUACUGGAAAUCAAAAUUAAACCAAAUGUAAGAUA